CCAGACUCCUACGGGAGGCAGCAGUGAGGAAUAUUGGUCAAUGGACGCAAGUCUGAACCAGCCAUGCCGCGUGCAGGAAGACGGCUCUAUGAGUUGUAAACUGCUUUUGUACGAGGGUAAACGCAGAUACGUGUAUCUGUCUGAAAGUAUCGUACGAAUAAGGAUCGGCUAACUCCGUGCCAGCAGCCGCGGUAAUACGGAGGAUUCAAGCGUUAUCCGGAUUUAUUGGGUUUAAAGGGUGCGUAGGCGGUCGGAUAAAUUAGAGGUGAAAUGUCGGGGCUCACCCCCGAAACUGCCUCUAAUACUGUUGGACUAGAGAAUAGUUGCGGUAGGCGGAAUGUAUGGUGUAGCGGUGAAAUGCUUAGAGAUCAUACAGACCACCGAUUGCGAAGGCAGCUUACCAAACUAUAUCUGCCGUUGAGGCACGAAAGCGUGGGUAGCAAACAGGAUUAGAUACCCGGGUAGC
This 466-nucleotide ribosomal RNA is filed under the name uncultured bacterium. RNAcentral describes it as "bacterial SSU rRNA". It matches the Rfam family "Bacterial small subunit ribosomal RNA", at positions 331 to 794 of the family's 1533-position model. The record is from RNAcentral.